GUUCAGUCUAUCUGGCCUACAUUUUUUUUAUUGUUCGUGGUUUUAUGAAGAUCUUUUUCUUUACACAUGCUCUGCAAGGACAGGGGCUGAUUAUUGCUGCUGUUCUGGUUUUAUAUGGGUUUGUGGGAAGAGGGAAUGGGGCAGGUCUGAUCAAAACUUUUGCUGUAUGUGUUGUGUCAGUAGCGGGCUCUCUACACCAUCCUGGGGCUGUAAGAGUCUGGAGGAGCCCAGUGCUCACAGGAGGCAGUGGAUGGGAGGUGUCCUCAAGCUGGCUUUGUCAUGGGCUGAAGAUCAAUCCUACGUUAAGAAUGAAUACGCCUUCGAACUUCUACAAUCUUUCAACAUGAAGGAGAUCUAGUGGAAGUGCUUCCUUUUUUCCUUUUUUCCUAAUUUUUCCUAAUUGCACAGCAGCAUUGAAGGCUCUUAGCCCAGCCAGCCGUCUUCUUUCUGAAUUACCACAUCUGGAAAAAGUUCAGGCAAAAAUUAUUGUAAAAUGGAGUUGCUGGGACCUCUGUCCAGUGCCUUCUGCACACUUGUAAGACUGAGCUGGGAAUUUUGGAAAAUGAGCUUAUAGGGGCUGAGCUCAUAGCUAUCCCUUCUUGUAUGGCUUGUAUGCUUCUUCCCACAUCAACAGUAGAGCAUUUCAGCUGAAUAUCUGCAGCCCUAAAUGGACUGUCACCUGAAAUGAGGACCACAGGGAGAGCGUAUUGAGUAAAGCAGAGAUCAAGAGCUGCUGUUCAGUAUUUUAACUUGCACUUGAAUAGCCUUAGAAUUUUUUUAUGUCUACUAAGAACCCUGAAUCCAAUUAAAUAUAUCUAAAAGGCAGGGAGGCUGACAGAAUAUAAGGGAGCUUAAUAUAGAACAUAUUGCAUCUCUUUGUUGACUCUGCUCCAUUAUGCCUCGCUCAUUUGUUUUCUUGAUAGGAGACAUUGUAUUAUCACUCCAAACAGACUUCUUCAGAUGUCAUUGAAUCAAAAUUAGAAGCUAAAUCUUGCUGUUCUAUAUCUAGUGGAAGUUACUUCUUAUGACCAAAAAUGCUGAGUAUUUCAAAUGUUCAAAACAAAGCCUGGAAAACUACAUAACGGUGUAAGUCAUCCAUUUCUUUUGCCUCAAUCUUACUAUCCAUUACCCUUAUUUUUGAGGUGCAUCUGCUGUUAGGACGUUACACACUUCUGUUUAGAGGAGCAUCUUAAAAUCUUCAGUGGCAUUAAUUAUGAGAUGUUGGCCAAGUUACACUGUAGUCUUAUCAAAAUUCCUGUUAGGACAUCAGUGUAUCAUCAGUGUAAAUAGCAACCAAUUUGCUUCAUUAAAGCUAUUUUUGAGAAAAUAAACUGAUUUAAUAGGCAGCAAGUUUCCUUUUCCGUUCUUACUGUCACUGCACCUUUUUAAAUGUAAAAUGUGGCUUCACUGUAGAAACCCAUUAAAGAGAGAUAAUAUUUCAUUCAGGUAAGUAUUGCCUUUCUGCUUAAAGGGAAAACACCAUUGUGAGCUUAGUAAAGAAUUUAAUUUGAUGUAUAUCUGCAGGAAGUAAGCCUUACAUCAAAAAGUAAGUACCAG
Meleagris gallopavo (turkey) is the source of this 1557-nucleotide long non-coding RNA. NCBI's taxonomy places the organism in Eukaryota, Metazoa, Chordata, Aves, Galliformes, Phasianidae. The record is from Ensembl.